UCCCGACCUGAAGACCUUCCGACCUGAGGUCUUUCCGUCCUGAGGACUUUCCGUCUUGAGGACCUCCCGACCUGAAGACCUUCCGACCUGAGGUCUUUCCGUCCUGAGGACUUUCCGUCUUGAGGACCUCCCGACCUGAAGACCUUCCGACCUGAGGUCUUUCCGUCCUGAGGACUUUCCGUCUUGAGGACCUCCCGACCUGAAGACCUUCCGACCUGAGGUCUUUCCGUCCUGAGGACUUUCCGUCUUGAGGACCUCCCGACCUGAAGACCUUCCGACCUGAGGUCUUUCCGUCC
Andrographis paniculata is the source of this 296-nucleotide long non-coding RNA. RefSeq lists it as uncharacterized. Lineage: Eukaryota; Viridiplantae; Streptophyta; Magnoliopsida; Lamiales; Acanthaceae. The transcript has 4 exons. The record is from RefSeq and is a predicted model, not a curated record.